CCUACGGGUGGCUGCAGUAAGGAAUAUUGGUCAAUGGACGCAAGUCUGAACCAGCCAUGCCGCGUGAAGGAAGACGGCCCUACGGGUUGUAAACUUCUUUUGUACGGGAAAAAAUCUCCGGUCGUGAAUCGGAGCUGAUGGUACCGUAAGAAUAAGCAUCGGCUAACUCCGUGCCAGCAGCCGCGGUAAUACGGAGGAUGCAAGCGUUAUGGGGAUUCAGUGGGUUUAAAGGGUACGCUAACUCAGUGAUGAAAUCCUACGGCUCAACUGUAGAACUGCCAUUGAUACUGUCGUUCUUGAGUACACUUGGAGUGGGCGGAAUGUGUCAUGUAGCGGUGAAAUGCUUAGAUAUGACACAGAACACCGAUCGCGAAGGCAGCUCACUAAAUUGUAACUGACGCUCAGGCACGAAAGCGUGGGGAUCAAACAGGAUUAGAUACCCUUGUAGUC
RNAcentral lists this ribosomal RNA (450 nucleotides) under uncultured bacterium. RNAcentral describes it as "partial 16S ribosomal RNA". It matches the Rfam family "Bacterial small subunit ribosomal RNA", at positions 338 to 795 of the family's 1533-position model. The record is from RNAcentral.